UUUUCGAUAUUCUUGUUUCUAGUCAACGUGAGAACUUGAGAAUUUGGCUAUAUAGUUGAACUCUUUAUUAACGAUGUUUUUGUAUGUAAUUUAAUUAUAUACGCACUCAUCAAGUUUCAGGAGAAAACGAGUUAGGAUGGAGAAGUUACGCGACCUGUACUAAUAACUUAAAGUGAAUAGUAACUCGAAUUUUUUGGAAAGGCCAAUCAGUGGAGAUGGCUUCUGGUGCGUAUUGAACUCCGUUCACAGUGAUCCAAUAGCUCGUUUUAGACGUUUCGACUAUCUUGGACCCAAUGGAACUGACGGAUUUGAAUUUUGAUGCACGGUUUUUGAGAAAAGGGGGUUUAUUGUAUUUACACAUAUAUAUAUGUAUGGUUUUGGAAAAUUGGAGAGGUAAUGGGUUUCAUCGCAAAUCGACAACCAUAUCGGGCAAAACAAAAUUGUGAGUUCGAUGCCCCGAUCGUACUGAAUGCAUUCGCGCAGCUUGUCACGCUCCGGAUUACUCGUUUCCCCGGGCACGCCAACAAAUCUGCCGUACACAAAGAAAUUUUUCCUAUAUACGAAGCGAGAGCUGUACCUGUAAUCACACAACACUACAAAUAGUAGUGUAGGGCUGCUAAAAAGAACAAUAUAUAGAUAAAACCGGUUUCCUAUACAUACAUAACAAUCUGGUACAAAAACACUCGCUCCAGCGAGGAUCUAAUAUCAGUAUGUACAAGAACCAAAAACUACAACUACCUGUAGCUGGUAUAUCUCUAAGUCAGC
Molecule: long non-coding RNA, 765 nt
Filed under: Ananas comosus (pineapple)
Lineage: Eukaryota; Viridiplantae; Streptophyta; Magnoliopsida; Poales; Bromeliaceae
Description: long non-coding RNA (ACOM_LNC026860)
Source: RNAcentral